This 484-nucleotide ribosomal RNA is filed under the name uncultured bacterium. Its description in RNAcentral is "partial 16S ribosomal RNA". It matches the Rfam family "Bacterial small subunit ribosomal RNA", at positions 30 to 507 of the family's 1533-position model. The record is from RNAcentral.
AUUGAACGCUGGCGGCAGGCCUAACACAUGCAAGUCGAGCGGAUGAAGGGAGCUUGCUCCUGGAUUCAGCGGCGGACGGGUGAGUAAUGCCUAGGAAUCUGCCUGGUAGUGGGGGAUAACGUCCGGAAACGGGCGCUAAUACCGCAUACGUCCUGAGGGAGAAAGUGGGGGAUCUUCGGACCUCACGCUAUCAGAUGAGCCUAGGUCGGAUUAGCUAGUUGGUGGGGUAAAGGCCUACCAAGGCGACGAUCCGUAACUGGUCUGAGAGGAUGAUCAGUCACACUGGAACUGAGACACGGUCCAGACUCCUACGGGAGGCAGCAGUGGGGAAUAUUGGACAAUGAGCGAAAGCCUGAUCCAGCCAUGCCGCGUGUGUGAAGAAGGUCUUCGGACUGUAAAGCACUUUAAGUUGGGAGGAAGGGCAGUAAGUUAAUACCUUGCUGUUUUGACGUUACCAACAGAAUAAGCACCGGCUAACUUCGUG